AGGACGAACGCUGGCGGCGUGCCUAAUACAUGCAAGUCGAGCGGACCUUAGCUUUUGCUUCGGCAAAAGCCUGAGGUCAGCGGCGGACGGGUGAGUAACACGUGGGCAAUCUGCCCGACACACUGGGAUAACGCUUGGAAACGAGUGCUAAUACUGGAUAGUCUUUCGGACUGCAUGGUCUGAAAGGGAAAGACGCGUUUGCGUCAGUGUCGGAUGAGCCCGCGGCGCAUUAGCUAGUUGGUGGGGUAGCGGCCUACCAAGGCAACGAUGCGUAGCCGACCUGAGAGGGUGACCGGCCACACUGGGACUGAGACACGGCCCAGACUCCUACGGGAGGCAGCAGUAGGGAAUCUUCCACAAUGGGCGCAAGCCUGAUGGAGCAACGCCGCGUGAGUGAUGAAGGCCUUCGGGUUGUAAAACUCUGUCAUCCGGGACGAACCGGAGCAAGAGGAAAUGCUUGCUCUUUGACGGUACCGGAGGAGGAAGCCCCGGCUAACUACGUGCCAGCAGCCGCGGUAAUACGUAGGGGGCAAGCGUUGUCCGGAUUCACUGGGCGUAAAGCGCGCGCAGGCGGCGAUGUAAGUCUGGGGUGAAAACCCGGAGCUCAACUCCGGGACUGCCUUGGAUACUGUGUCGCUUGAGGAUAGGAGAGGCAAGGGGAAUUCCACGUGUAGCGGUGAAAUGCGUAGAGAUGUGGAGGAACACCUGUGGCGAAGGCGCCUUGCUGGCCUAUUUCUGACGCUGAGGCGCGAAAGCGUGGGGAGCAAACAGGAUUAGAUACCCUGGUAGUCCACGCCGUAAACGAUGAGUGCUAGGUGUAGGUGGGCUCAUACCCAUCUGUGCCGAAGCUAACGCAUUAAGCACUCCGCCUGGGGAGUACGGUCGCAAGACUGAAACUCAAAGGAAUUGACGGGGGCCCGCACAAGCAGUGGAGCAUGUGGUUUAAUUCGAAGCAACGCGAAGAACCUUACCAGGACUUGACAUCCCAGUGACUGGCUUAGAGAUAAGCCUUCCCUUCGGGGCACUGGUGACAGGUGGUGCAUGGUUGUCGUCAGCUCGUGUCGUGAGAUGUUGGGUUAAGUCCCGCAACGAGCGCAACCCUUACGUUGUGUUGCCAGCAUUCAGUUGGGCACUCACAACGGACUGCCGUCGACAAGACGGAGGAAGGCGGGGAUGACGUCAAAUCAUCAUGCCCCUUAUGUCCUGGGCUACACACGUGCUACAAUGGGCGGUACAACGGGAUGCGAAGCCGCGAGGUGGAGCUAAACCCUGAAAACCGUUCGUAGUUCGGAUUGCAGGCUGCAACUCGCCUGCAUGAAGCCGGAAUUGCUAGUAAUCGCGGAUCAGCAUGCCGCGGUGAAUCCGUUCCCGGGCCUUGUACACACCGCCCGUCACACCACGAGAAUUGGCAACACCCGAAGUCGGUGGGGUAACCGCAAGGAGCUAGCCGCCGAAGGUGGGGUCGAUGAUUGGGGUGA
RNAcentral lists this ribosomal RNA (1478 nucleotides) under uncultured bacterium. Its description in RNAcentral is "bacterial SSU rRNA". It matches the Rfam family "Bacterial small subunit ribosomal RNA". The record is from RNAcentral.